GUCUCAGUGGUGUAAGGGAUAAGAGCACGGUCCUCUGAAUGGACAAGUACGGGUUCGAGUCCCGUCCGAGACU
Molecule: transfer RNA, 73 nt
Filed under: Haemonchus placei
Lineage: Eukaryota; Metazoa; Nematoda; Chromadorea; Rhabditida; Trichostrongylidae
Rfam family: tRNA
About the family: Transfer RNA (tRNA) molecules are approximately 80 nucleotides in length. Their secondary structure includes four short double-helical elements and three loops (D, anti-codon, and T loops). Further hydrogen bonds mediate the characteristic L-shaped molecular structure. tRNAs have two regions of fundamental functional importance: the anti-codon, which is responsible for specific mRNA codon recognition, and the 3' end, to which the tRNAs corresponding amino acid is attached (by aminoacyl-tRNA synthetases). tRNAs cope with the degeneracy of the genetic code in two manners: having more than one tRNA (with a specific anti-codon) for a particular amino acid; and 'wobble' base-pairing, i.e. permitting non-standard base-pairing at the 3rd anti-codon position.
Source: Rfam by way of RNAcentral